This 262-nucleotide ribosomal RNA is filed under the name uncultured bacterium. RNAcentral describes it as "partial 16S ribosomal RNA". It matches the Rfam family "Bacterial small subunit ribosomal RNA", at positions 96 to 354 of the family's 1533-position model. The record is from RNAcentral.
UGGCGGACGGGUGGUAAGUAACGCGGUGGAAAACCUGCCGUAUACUGGGGGAUAACACUUAGAAAUAGGUGCUAAUACCGCAUAAGCGCACAGCUUCGCAUGAAGCGGUGUGAAAAACUCUGGUGGUAUACGAUGGUUCCGCGUCUGAUUAGCUAGUUGGUGGGGUAAUGGCCUACCAAGGCAACGAUCAGUAGCCGGCCUGAGAGGGUGAACGGCCACAUUGGGACUGAGACACGGCCCAAACUCCUACGGGAGGCAGCAG